RNAcentral lists this ribosomal RNA (457 nucleotides) under uncultured Geminigera. Its description in RNAcentral is "partial Eukaryotic large subunit ribosomal RNA". It matches the Rfam family "Eukaryotic large subunit ribosomal RNA", at positions 2411 to 2875 of the family's 3401-position model. Lineage: Eukaryota; Cryptophyceae; Pyrenomonadales; Geminigeraceae. The record is from RNAcentral.
CCCUGUUGAGCUUGACUCUAGUCCGACAUUGUGAAAUGACUUAAGAGGUGUAGAAUAAGUGGGAGCGCAAGCGCCGGUGAAAUACCACUACUUUUAAUGUUAUUUUACUUAUUCCGUGAAGUAGAGGCGGGGCCCAAAGCCCCACUUUCUGGACUUAAGGACUUCGGUCCGAUCUAGGCGGAAGACAUUGUCAGGUGGGGAGUUUGGCUGGGGCGGCACAUCCGUAAAAGAUAACGCGGGUGUCCUAAGGUGAGCUCAAUGAGAACAGAAAUCUCAUGUAGAACAAAAGGGUAAAAGCUCACUUGAUUUUGAUUUUCAGUAUGAAUACAAACUGUGAAAGCAUGGCCUAUCGAUCCUUUAGUUGCUUAGAGUUUAAGCCUAGAGGUGUCAGAAAAGUUACCACAGGGAUAACUGGCUUGUGGCAGCCAAGCGUUCAUAGCGACGUUGCUUUUUGAUC